CCGAACUCAGUCAAACGCCGAGUGCCAAGGACGUAUCCUUAGGAGGAAGACUGCGAGUGAUAAGAGCCUUAGUCAAAAGGGAAACAGCCCAGACCGCCAGCUAAGGUCCCAAAGUGUGUAUUAAGUGGAAAAGGAUGUUGAGUUGGUUAGACAACUAGGAUGUUGGCUUAGAAGCAUCCACCAUUUAAAGAGUGCGUAAUAGCUCACUAGUCGAGUGACUCUGCGCCGAAAAUGUACCCGAGCUAAAUACACCACCGAAGCUGUGGAUUGAUACCGAAUGGAAUCAGUGGUAGUGGAUCGUUCUAAGGACAGUGAACUCAGAGCGGUAGGACUGGAGGAGAGCUUUGUAGUGAGUAUUGCGGUAGGAGUAGCGAAAGACUGGUGCGAAACCAGUUCAUCGA
RNAcentral lists this ribosomal RNA (401 nucleotides) under Bacillus cereus. RNAcentral's name for it is "bacterial LSU rRNA". It matches the Rfam family "Bacterial large subunit ribosomal RNA", at positions 939 to 1340 of the family's 2925-position model. The record is from RNAcentral. Lineage: Bacteria; Bacillati; Bacillota; Bacilli; Caryophanales; Bacillaceae.